Long non-coding RNA from Mya arenaria, 1299 nucleotides. RefSeq lists it as uncharacterized. The transcript is spliced from 7 exons. NCBI's taxonomy places the organism in Eukaryota, Metazoa, Mollusca, Bivalvia, Myida, Myidae. The record is from RefSeq and is a predicted model, not a curated record.
CCACGGCACUAACCUAGUAUUCUAUUUAUCCUGUUACUUUGUUUAAUUAAACGCUAUAAAACCUUAAAAUUAAUAAGAAUCUUUAAAAGUAAGGGGGACAACUGUUUUUCCCUGUUGACGUCAUCACACUCGGUAUCCAUGUUUAAAUCGCCCCCAAAAUAGUUCGUAAAACUGUUCAACUUUUUUAGUACGUUUAUAUUCAAAGUCAUUGCAUUUUAAUACGUCAAUAUCAAUUCAAAACAUAAAAAUACUUUUAAACGUGCAUAAGCAUGGAUCAGUCUCUGAACAUUAUCUGAUGAUGUAACAAUUAUUCCGCAAGUCAGAGUACAGUACACAGGUCAAAAUUAAAGAUCACGAGUGUUUACAAACAAUCGCAACAUAUUAAAUGGAUUUAAAUGAUGUUGAUAGUGUUGAAUGAUCAUAACUGCACCGGCAAAGAGAUCAUUCAUUUCUGUUUUUGGUUUACAGAAGGAUUGUUGUGUGUUAAUACGCUGACCAUACAGAGAGACCGCUCCCUUCCUUUUCCUGAAGCAAUGCACAGGGCGCCUUAUUGUCCAAUGUGGUUGUAAAAUUCCUGUGCAUGUAGUUCUUUGACAUUGGUGCUGAUUGUACGUUACUUCCCAAUGUCAGACCCACUGGAGUUGGGAGUUUACACGCAGACACUAAAGCCCAAGACAAGGACAAGACAGUCAGACAGAUGUUUGAGCUCAACAAGCUGAAUAAACCAGUCAAAUGCCUGAUGGACAGUAAACCAGUCUGGACAAACAGGAACCACAAGGUUGUCAUGGACGCAUAUUCACAGUCCCUGACAUAAUACUGCAGGAUGCUGGGAAAUAAACAUGUGCCUGUGGUGAUGUUUUGUCAUCAGCUUCCCUUACUGUUGGAGAUCCGCUGGUUGAGUUGGUUGCCCCACUGAAGCAUGUUGCAGGAGACAAUCACAGUGUCAGACGCCUAUGACAUCAGUCAUGGCAAUACCCACCAUUCCCGGCACCUAAAAGGGUUUCCCCUGACAAAGGUGCAGAACACACAAUCAUCUUUGACGUCAAGUUCAGUAAUGCUAAAUUUACUGUGAAAGCGCCAAAGACCUGUAAUUCAAGCCAUUGCAGAAAACAGAACAUCAGGCAGUUCUACCUGAACACAGCCCCAUCCAGCAUGAUUUAGGCUGCAGAACUAUACAAUAGUAUCAGUGGAUCAACCUAUCUGAGAGGGGUGACAUACAGACUGAAGAUGGGCAAGUGUGUUGUGCAGGUUGUUAACCAGAAUUUGGAGAAUGUGCUAUACAAACUGAACAACAUAGGG